UCCAGAAUUGUGCAGUCAAGGGCCAGUUGC
This 30-nucleotide non-coding RNA is filed under the name Homo sapiens (human). The record is from RNAcentral. Lineage: Eukaryota; Metazoa; Chordata; Mammalia; Primates; Hominidae.